This 2433-nucleotide unclassified non-coding RNA is filed under the name Polistes fuscatus (common paper wasp). RNAcentral describes it as "macro domain-containing protein CT2219-like, transcript variant X1". The record is from RNAcentral. Lineage: Eukaryota; Metazoa; Arthropoda; Insecta; Hymenoptera; Vespidae.
AGACAAUUAUUCGCAAACAGGGUGUUAAUCGAUGACUUAUCACGAAGAUCUUAUAAGUUACGAAAUUCGACGUUAGAUGUCGUUACGAGUCAAAACGAUUCCUUGAUUUGUUAACAAAACUACCGACAGAUAGCGUUUCCAGUGCGUUCUUUUGUGUGUUAUAAAAAAAAAAGAUAAUUAAAAAGAAUAAAAAUCCCCGCAUUUUAUACCGGUCACGUUACGAUAUUAUUUUGAUAUAUUUAAGUCUUUAAUAAAGUUCAUAUAAUCAUAUGAUAAAUCAAAUUAACGUCGUUGUAUUUGAAUCAAUCUUGUGAUGUAACAUCUACGAAAGUUAUAAAUAUUUAGCAAUUUUGUUUAGUACCAACGAAUAAACACAACUAUAAAUGCAAAGAAUAUUUGCUUACGUUCGAUCUUUGAAUUCAACUUUAAUUCAAUCAUUCGUUCCGUACUUUACAACUAGAACCAUGACAAGCAAUAAUGAUACUAAGUCAUCUUUUGGUGAUACAAAGCAGAAAUACAUGAACAUGUCGUUAGAAGAAAAAAAGAAAAUAUUUAAAUCAACUACAAAUAGCGUGAAUCAAAUACCAACAUGGGCAGAAUAUUGGUCUAAAAAUAAAUCAUUUAUAAGCGUUAAAGUUUCGAACCAAAAUGCAAAGGCUGGCAUGGAAGUUGCUAAAAAGAUUUCCUUUUGGAUGGGAGACAUUACCACUCUCGAGGUAGAUGCAGUUGUCAACGCAGCUAAUUCGGUCUUAAUACCUGGCGGAGGAGUCGACGGUGCUAUUCACAAAGCUGCUGGACCUUAUUUGAAAGUAGAAUGUGCCACGCUAGGGAGAUGCCCUGCCGGAGAAGCUAGAAUCACUGGAGGAUACAUGUUGCCAGCUAAAUAUGUCAUUCAUACCGUUGGUCCAAUAGGAAAGAUACCUGAGGUAUUGGAGCAAUGCUAUAAGAAUUGUCUCGAUUUGGCGAAAGCAUAUGGAUUAAGAACCAUAGCAUUCCCAUGCAUAUCUACAGGAGUUUACGGUUACCCUCAAGAAGCAGCCGCCCAAGUAGCCUUGUCUACAGUUACAAAUUAUCUUAUUAAUGAUAUAGAUAGCGUGGACCGAGUAAUCUUUUGUCUCUUUCUAAACAGUGAUAAAGAAAUAUAUGAGAAAUUGUUACCAAGUUAUUUUGAUCUGAACUGAAUACGACUAGCAGUUAAGUUUAUAUUUAGGUAUCAUUCAAUUAGUUAGAUCCAAUCAAAUAAAAUUGUAUUUAAAUAUCUUUAAUAUUAUUCUCAUAAAAUAUUAAAUCGAAUACAGUGGAUUUUCCUUGAUCCCAUCCGCUGAUAGAGAUUCCUUGUGACAUUAACGUUCUAUCUUUCUCUUUCUCUUUAUUUACAGAAAAACAGGACAUAGUCUCCAGAAAAUAAAUAUUAACAUUUCUAAUCUAAUUAGAUUAUUGUAUCCAAGAAGAAAUUUCAAUUCGAAAAUUCGCGGCAUUCGAAAGAAAACCAAUGGCGAGCUCGAGUCAGCGAUCAAAGCGCCAGAGUUUCGGACGCUGACCGCGUCUGGUAUCCAACGACGGCGCGCCGCCAUUUUGAAAAAUCGAAAGUGUGGUAAUGUCUGUAUGUGGUAAUAGGUGGGGGACUGGGUCGUUAAUGUCGAUGAUCAUCUUGUGCGGAAAAUCCGUCACAAAUGGAGUCUAAUCUAAGGAAAGAGUUGAAAAGUUAGAAAACAGCCGUCAAGAAACCCACAGCAGCACACCACCACCACCACCCAAUAGUAGUAAUAGUAGUAGUAGUAGAAGUCGUCGUAGAGUCGUAGUAGCAGAAGCAGUAACGAAGCAAGAAGUGAGAACUGGCUUUGCUAGCGUGGAUUGAGCACUCGUAUUGGAUCUCGUGCAUGUGUGCGUGGGUCUUUGCCAGUGUGCAGCGGGAGGAGAAAAAGAAAGAGAGAGAAAAGUAUAGUCGGCUUGGCGAGGUCGCCGGUGUGCCUGGCGAGAGGAACCCAUCGCGUCUUGAGUCUUUCAAGGAGGACUCAUCGUCCAACUAGAAGAAGAAGAAGAAGAAGAAGCCAGAAGAAGAAGAAGAGAAGAGAAAGAAAAGGGAAAGAGGAGAGAAGAGUUGGAGCAAAGUGACUGGUACGACAAAGAAUACAAAUCAAAAUAAAAAAAAGAAGAAUAAGGAAAAGGAUGUAACUUCUAACUCAAUAUACAUUAAUACAUAUAUAUAUAUAUAUCGUUCUUUCUCUCUCUUCUUCUCUCUCUUUUUUUCGCUUGGACGAAGGCGGACAGAGUCCCGUAAUCCUGAACGGCCGCCGCCACCGCUUUGUAGGUUACUGACGGACGCACGCGGAGCGAGAGGGAGCUCUUCGCAGCGCUAGCGACACAGAAAGAGACGGGUAGAGCUUCUUUCGAGAGAACAAGAAGAAGGAAGGAAGGAAGGAACGAAAGAAA